UGUAUCCUACGGGGGGCAGCAGUGAGGGAUAUUGGUCAAUGGUGGAAACCCUGAACCAGCAACGCCGCGUGAGGGAAGACGGUUUUCGGAUUGUAAACCUCUGUCCUCUGUGAAGAUAAUGACGGUAGCAGAGGAGGAAGCUCCGGCUAACUACGUGCCAGCAGCCGCGGUAAUACGUAGGGAGCGAGCGUUGUCCGGAUUUACUGGGUGUAAGGGGUGCGUAGGCGGGUAAGCAAGUCAGAAGUGAAAUCCAU
Molecule: ribosomal RNA, 254 nt
Filed under: uncultured bacterium
Lineage: Bacteria
Description: partial 16S ribosomal RNA
Rfam family: Bacterial small subunit ribosomal RNA
Source: RNAcentral